This 227-nucleotide unclassified non-coding RNA is filed under the name Hevea brasiliensis (rubber tree). Lineage: Eukaryota; Viridiplantae; Streptophyta; Magnoliopsida; Malpighiales; Euphorbiaceae. The record is from RNAcentral.
GGGAUGCCCAGCCUGGAUCACAUACUGUGAGCGUGAGGUCUCAUGGUGUGACGGUUGCAUCAUAUACAGUGAGGUCCCAUGGUAUAACAGUGGCAAGGACUCAUUUAAAUGACUGGAUGAUCCUAAUAAUACUUUUGGGGAUAGUUGUCCUUCUGAAUGUUAUCCAUCCGUUUUACCGGUUUGUUGGGAAAGACAUGAUGGAAGACCUCAAGUAUCCUUUAAAAAGU